Molecule: ribosomal RNA, 1971 nt
Filed under: human gut metagenome
Description: bacterial LSU rRNA
Rfam family: Bacterial large subunit ribosomal RNA
Source: RNAcentral
UAAAGUAAGAAAGAGCGUAUGGCGGAUGCCUAGGCACAGAGAGGCGAAGAAGGACGCAGCAAACAGCGAAAUGCGACGGUUAGCAGUAAGCAUGCAACGAUCCGUCGAUGUCCGAAUGGGGGAACCCACCUGGAGUAGAGACCAGGUAUCCUGAAGUGAAUAAAUAGCUUCAGAGAGGCGAGACUCAGGGAACUGAAACAUCUAAGUACCUGAAGGAAGAGAAAAUAAACGAAUGAUUCCCUAAGUAGCGGCGAGCGAAAGGGGAAGAGCCCAAACCGAUCUUAGGAUCGGGGUUGUAGGACUGUCGGCAAAGAGCAAGAAAUCAUUAUAGGCGAACGGAAUGGGAAGUCCGGCGAAACAGGGUGACAGCCCCGUAGCCGAAAUAGUGAAGAAGCACGAGACAGCACCUGAGUACGGCGGGACACGAGGAAUCCUGUCGGAAUCCACCAGGACCAUCUGGUAAGGCUAAAUACUCCUCUGUGACCGAUAGUGAACCAGUACCGUGAGGGAAAGGUGAAAAGAACCCCGGGAGGGGAGUGAAAUAGAACCUGAAACCAUAUGCUUACAAGAAGUUAGAGCCCGUUAAAGGGUGAUAGCGUGCCUUUUGUAGAAUGAACCGGCGAGUUACGAUAUGGAGCGAGGUUAAGCAGGAUAUGCGGAGCCGAAGCGAAAGCGAGUCUUAAUAGGGCGAAAGUUGCAUGUCGUAGACCCGAAACCGAGUGAUCUAGCCAUGACCAGGUUGAAGUUGGGGUAAAACCCGAUGGAGGACCGAACCGACCCCCGUUGAAACGUUGGCGGAUGAGUUGUGGCUAGGGGUGAAAUUCCAAUCGAACUCGGAGAUAGCUGGUUCUCCCCGAAAUAGCUUUAGGGCUAGCGUCGAGGUAAAGUCGUGUGAAGGUAGAGCACUGAAUAUGUGAUGGCCCCAUCUCGGGGUACUGAACAUAAUCAAACUCCGAAUGUCACAAAGAUAUACUCGGCAGUCAGACAGUGGGUGAUAAGGUCCAUUGUCAAAAGGGAAACAGCCCAGACCAUCAGCUAAGGUCCCAAAAUAUAUACUAAGUGGAAAAGGAUGUGGAGAUGUCCAGACAACUAGGAGGUUGGCUCAGAAGCAGCCAUCCUUUAAAGAGUGCGUAACAGCUCACUAGUCGAAUGACUCUGCGCCGAUAAUUUACCGGGGCUAAGUAUAUUACCGAAGCUAUGGAUUUACGCGUAAGCGUGAGUGGUAGGGGAGCGUUCUAUGUGCGGAGAAGCGGUACCGUAAGGAGCCGUGGAGCGCAUAGAAGAGAGAAUGCCGGUGUGAGUAGCGAAACGUGGGUGAGAAUCCCACGCACCGAAAACCCAAGGUUUCCAGAGGAAGGUUCGUCCGCUCUGGGUAAGUCGGGACCUAAGGCGAGGCCGAGAGGCGUAGUCGAUGGACAACAGGUAGAGAUUCCUGUACUUACGGUAUGAAUGAUGGAGUGACGGAGAAGGCUAGCGGAUCCUGCUGAUGGAAAUGCAGGUGCAAGCGAGGUAGCCGACAGCCAGGCAAAUCCGGCUGUCGAAAGGCAAAGGCGUGAGGCGUAUGGAAAGCUGCGGCAAGUACAGAAGUCCGUGAAGCCAGCUUCCAAGAAAAGCUUCUAGUGAUAAUCAUACAGUAACCCGUACCGAAAAUGGACACACAUGGGUGAGGAGAGAAUCCUAAGGUGAGCGAGAGAACUAUAGCUAAGGAACUCUGCAAAAUGACUCCGUAACUUAGGGAUAAGGAGUGCUCAUAGAGAUAUGAGCCGCAGUGAAACGGCCCAAGCGACUGUUUACCAAAAACACAGCUCUAUGCUAAGUCGAAAGACGACGUAUAUGGGGUGACGCCUGCCCGGUGCUGGAAGGUUAAGAGGAUGUGUCAGCGCAAGCGAAGCAUUGAAUUGAAGCCCCAGUAAACGGCGGCCGUAACUAUAACGGUCCUAAGGUAGCGAAAUUCCUUGUCAGGUAAGUUCU